GAUGAACGCUGGCGGCGUGCUUAACACAUGCAAGUGGACCGAUGAACCUCACUUGUGGGGGGAUUAGUGGCGAACGGGUGAGUAACACGUGAGUAACCUGCCCUUAACUCUGGGAUAAGCCUGGGAAACUGGGUCUAAUACCGGAUAUGACUCCUCAUCGCAUGGUGGGGGGUGGAAAGCUUUUUUUGGUUUUGGAUGGACUCGCGGCCUAUCAGCUUGUUGGUGAGGUAAUGGCUCACCAAGGCGACGACGGGUAGCCGGCCUGAGAGGGUGACCGGCCACACUGGGACUGAGACACGGCCCAGACUCCUACGGGAGGCAGCAGUGGGGAAUAUUGCACAAUGGGCGAAAGCCUGAUGCAGCGACGCCGCGUGAGGGAUGACGGCCUUCGGGUUGUAAACCUCUUUCAGUAGGGAAGAAGCGAAAGUGACGGUACCUGCAGGAGAAGCGCCGGCUAACUACGUGC
RNAcentral lists this ribosomal RNA (466 nucleotides) under Arthrobacter sp. S21135. RNAcentral's name for it is "bacterial SSU rRNA". It matches the Rfam family "Bacterial small subunit ribosomal RNA", at positions 28 to 508 of the family's 1533-position model. Lineage: Bacteria; Bacillati; Actinomycetota; Actinomycetes; Micrococcales; Micrococcaceae. The record is from RNAcentral.